This is a long non-coding RNA of Nerophis ophidion (straightnose pipefish), 1191 nucleotides long. RefSeq lists it as uncharacterized. Lineage: Eukaryota; Metazoa; Chordata; Actinopteri; Syngnathiformes; Syngnathidae. The transcript is spliced from 2 exons. The record is from RefSeq and is a predicted model, not a curated record.
CACACAUACACACACACACGCACACACACACACACACACACACACACACACACCAUUACCUCUGCUUUACCAUGUUAUUAGACAUUGGUUUAACUCCAUUUAAGCAUUUAAACGUUAAAAGCAUUGCACUUGUACGACGUUGUAAUACUUUUUUUUUACCAGCCGAUGACGACGAAGUGAAAGACGAUGAACUUUGCUUAAACAGUCUUACAAAGUUGGAAGAUGAUUAUCGAGGUGUGUUUAAACCUUCGAAUUAUUUAAUAUUGUGUGUAUUCAUUAUUUUGUUUUAUAGAGGAUUUGCCGUAAGAUCCUAACGCGAUCGUUUUAACACAAUCGCAGUCUGGUGAGUCAAAUGAUUCUCAUUUUACAAGAAAAAAAACAUGCGGUAUACGAUACAUAUAUACAUAUAUUUACUUACAUCUCCGGCUCGCUGGUCUCCCUUAAAGCUGGCGGGUCCGUCAACGGCCGUUCCAGGCAGAGGAGAAGGCUUGAUUGUGCCAAAGACUCCAGACAUCGAAUCCUUGCUCCGAGGGGAAAUCAUCGAAAACGACGGUGAAUGUCCAACAGGCACCCGCUAUUGGUAACACUGGACAAGUCGGAUAUCCUUGCUUGGAUCCUUUUAAAGUUGCCCGAUAAACUGCUGAGAGUUGAUCUCUCCUCUUGUCCAAAGGUUUUUCGUUCAUUUUUACUUGUAAUACUGCCACUAGGGUUGAUGUAGUAGCUCCACAACAUAACCUUAAAGCCUGUGACUGGAUCCGGUCUAUUUUCCCAAGUCAUGUUUUUGAAGCAGAUUGGUAAAUAAUGCAUCCGUAAUCAAUAACAGAUGGAAUUAAAGUUAUAAAUAUAUACAUGUAUUGUUUUCAACGUUAACCUAUCAGCCCCCCAAUCAUUACCCCUCAAAGACCUCAUUAUAUUUAACACCUUUUUACUUUUUCCCCUAUUUUUUUAUUUUCCGGAAGGAACACUCCUGAAGGAAUAAAUAAAGUACUAUCUAAUCUAAUCUAAUCAAAUCUAUUUUGCUGAUGUGGGUUGACUAGUUCAUAUUUUUAUCAAACCAUAUUCCUAAAUAUUUAAAUACUUGUACCUCUUCUAUAUUUUCACCUUAGAGUUUUUAUUUGGAGCUUGUUUGGUACUUUUGUCUUUGUAAAAUGUAUGACUUUUGUCUUUCCAACAGAGAAUCUUAAACCUCAA